AGACGCUAGCGUGUGCCCAGGGAAGAGUUCUCUUUUCUUUUUAACAUGCAUUUCCUACCCUGGAAUCGGAUUACCCGGCGAUAGGGAGGAAGCCAUGGCAAAGCACCUUGAUUUUUAGGGUGUCCUGCGCGCUCACGACGGCCCUUGAAAAU
RNAcentral lists this non-coding RNA (152 nucleotides) under Saprolegnia parasitica CBS 223.65. RNAcentral describes it as "Eukaryotic large subunit ribosomal RNA". It matches the Rfam family "Eukaryotic large subunit ribosomal RNA", at positions 1663 to 1812 of the family's 3401-position model. Lineage: Eukaryota; Oomycota; Saprolegniomycetes; Saprolegniales; Saprolegniaceae. The record is from Rfam by way of RNAcentral.